Molecule: ribosomal RNA, 382 nt
Filed under: uncultured bacterium
Lineage: Bacteria
Description: bacterial SSU rRNA
Rfam family: Bacterial small subunit ribosomal RNA
Source: RNAcentral
AUUAAACGCUGGCGGCAUGCCUUACACAUGCAAGUCGAACGGCAGCACGGGGGCAACCCUGGUGGCGAGUGGCGAACGGGUGAGUAAAGCAUCGGAACGUGCCCUGGAGUGGGGGGAUAACGUAGCGAAAGUUACGCUAAUACCGCAUAUUCUGUGAGCAGGAAAGCAGGGGAUCGCAAGACCUUGCGCUCUGGGAGCGGCCGAUGUCGGAUUAGCUAGUUGGUGGGGUAAAGGCCUACCAAGGCGACGAUCCGUAGCGGGUCUGAGAGGAUGAUCCGCCACACUGGGACUGAGACACGGCCCAGACUCCUACGGGAGGCAGCAGUGGGGAAUUUUGGGACAAUGGGCGAAAGCCUGAUCCAGCCAUGCCGCGUGAGUGAAG